GACUGAACGUACACCAUGAGUAGCGUGGUUGUAAAAUUACAAGUUUCUAUGAAUUGAUCAAUGGUGGCCGCAAAAAAAAAGAAAUCUAUGCCGGAUGGGGACUAUUUCUAUGGAUUAAAGGGUGGUGUUAUAAUGACGACAACAACGACAAGCGGCUGAUACCACGUUAAUAAGAUUGCGAAACCAAAUCUUCGAGUGAAUUGGAUACUGACGAGGACUAAGCUCACAAAAACUAGAUGUUUUUGCGAUAAAUACCCCUCGCUUCUCCCGAAAACUAACAAAUAAUAUAAUGUUGUGGCAAUAUAAAUGACUGGAAAACCAAAAUUAUCAAAUUCAUCUACAACAGGUCUCAACAAGCGAGUAAUCAUGACACCUAUAAUCAAUAAGAUCUACAUCAACAUUUUUAAAAGAGAAGAAGAAAAACCCAAAGUUCAAAGCUAUUCAUCAUCUUAAAAGUUUCACGG
This is a long non-coding RNA of Lucilia sericata (common green bottle fly), 464 nucleotides long. RefSeq lists it as uncharacterized. The transcript has 6 exons. Lineage: Eukaryota; Metazoa; Arthropoda; Insecta; Diptera; Calliphoridae. The record is from RefSeq and is a predicted model, not a curated record.